RNAcentral lists this ribosomal RNA (591 nucleotides) under Tomoplagia pseudopenicillata. RNAcentral's name for it is "partial 16S ribosomal RNA". The stretch from base 340 to 499 matches the Rfam family "Bacterial large subunit ribosomal RNA", at positions 2473 to 2632 of the family's 2925-position model. Lineage: Eukaryota; Metazoa; Arthropoda; Insecta; Diptera; Tephritidae. The record is from RNAcentral.
UGGCCGCAGUAUUUUGACUGUGCAAAGGUAGCAUAAUCAUUAGUCUUUUAAUUGAAGGCUUGUAUGAAUGGUUGGACGAAGUAUUAACUGUUUCAUAUAAAUUUAUAAUAAAAUUUUAUAUUUUAGUAAAAAAGCUAAAAUUUUAUUAAAAGACGAGAAGACCCUAUAAAUCUUUAUAUUUGAAUUUUUAUUUAAUCAUUUAAUUUUAUUUAAUUAAAUUUAAUUUAAAUAUUUUAUUGGGGUGAUAUUAAAAUUUAUAAAACUUUUAAUUUUAAAUAUUACAUUAAUUUAUGUUUUAUUGAUCUAUUAAUAAUGAUUAAAAGAAUAAGUUACUUUAGGGAUAACAGCGUAAUUUUUUUGGAGAGUUCUUAUUAAUAAAAAAGUUUGCGACCUCGAUGUUGGAUUAAGAAAUAAAUUUAGGUGUAGAAGCUUAAAAAUUAAGUCUGUUCGACUUUUAAAUUCUUACAUGAUCUGAGUUCAAACCGGUGUAAGCCAGGUUGGUUUCUAUCUUUAAUUUUUUAUAAUAUUUUAGUACGAAAGGCCCAAAUAUUUAAUUAAUAUAAUUUUUUUUUUGAAAUUAAUUAAAUUAUU